This 258-nucleotide ribosomal RNA is filed under the name uncultured bacterium. RNAcentral describes it as "partial 16S ribosomal RNA". It matches the Rfam family "Bacterial small subunit ribosomal RNA", at positions 334 to 590 of the family's 1533-position model. The record is from RNAcentral.
GUUCCCUACGGGGGGCAGCAGUGAGGAAUAUUGGUCAAUGGGCUUACGCCUAAACCAGCCAAGUCGCGUGAGGGAAGACUGCCCUAUGGGUUGUAAACCUCUUUUGUCGGGGAGCAAAAGCCGGACGUGUCCGGCUGUGAGAGUACCCGAAGAAAAAGCAUCGGCUAACUCCGUGCCAGCAGCCGCGGUAAUACGGAGGAUGCGAGCGUUAUCCGGAUUUAUUGGGUUUAAAGGGUGCGCAGGCGGAUUUUUAAGUUA